Molecule: long non-coding RNA, 2391 nt
Organism: Bombus pyrosoma
Lineage: Eukaryota; Metazoa; Arthropoda; Insecta; Hymenoptera; Apidae
Exons: 3
Source: RefSeq, a predicted model, not a curated record
UAUUUAGGUCCUGUAUUUCACGUAAUGUACGAGUGGAAUGUUAUAUAUUUUAACGGUUUCUUCGUUAAACUAUGUAAAGACAGCGCGAAGGAGAUUCGGCAAGCGACCGGGGCAAUCAAGCGAAACAAGGUAAGAAAAGCUGAUAAAUCAUUGGCCUUGAGGCAGCCUCGCGAGUCUGGCUUGCACUGUCUGUAUCUACGUAGUUUUACAUAAACUAAAUGCUGUGCAACGUGUACCGUGUUGCAAUACCAGAACAUUCAAGUGAUAAACCCAUCGGAUAGCGAAGUAUUCGGAUAAUAGGAGUUCGUCGAUGAGAGGUCUCUCUUACUGGUUAGAACAUUCGAUGGGUGAAACGAAUCACUGCUUUUCCUCUCUCUACGAUUUCUUUUACCGUGUUCGUAAAAAUACGAAUUUGCAUAAACGCCCGUGGUGUAAUCAGUAGGCAUCCGCUAUAAAAUACAGGAAACGUUACGUCCUUGCUCAUAAUUAUCUUAACGAAACGAAGAAAAGGCUGGAUGAGGAAAGUAGAUAAAAUACUGGAACAGGGGGGCCAAUGGGAAAUCACGUGGCAAGUGGCAGCUGUGCAGGUUUAAAGAGCAAAUUAGUUAUUCAUUGGCCGCGGCAAAUACCCGGAAAUGAAAUUAUCUCGCUCCAAUUGGCAAUCGACGUUAGCAGACAAGAAUAUUGUACGUGGAUGUGUAUCUGAAAUUUUCCUGAUAUUAAUUUAUCGUCACGGAAGUGACGGAAGGUGUUCGAGAACCGUGGGGGAUCGAUAACCGUUAUCCGCGGUUGUUACCAUGGAUACAUCAAAGCUCAUUCGUUAACGCUUGAAAAUGAUUAAGACGAGGCCAUUGCUUAUUAUGGCCGCUUAAUAAAAUUCGCCGACCAACGGAGAAGUUUUUGAUCCACGCACUCAUGUACAUGAUCUUCUCCUCAAAGAUCGCAUUAUUACUUUGUUGUAAGUUCGUAUUGUAUAUCGUGGCUCAGAAUAGUAUUAUGAACGAUUAUUAUAGAGAAUUUUUACGUGUGCUAUAUUGUGUUAUAUCAUAUAGAAGAUGUUGAAAUUUUGCUAGCAUUACAACGAGACAAGACUAUCACGAUUACAUUGGUAAAAUAUAAAUUACAUAAAAUAGUUAUAUGAAACGUUUGAAAAUUUUACUAACAUUGUAACGAGACAGAACUGUCAUGAUUAUACUGGUAAAGUUUGAAACCAAUCGAGAGAUGUAUGUAGAAAUGACUUUAACAAAUUUAAUUGUCAUUAUCUUUCUUAUUAUGGUAUCUUACUUCUAGCAAUAUACUUCUAGAGACAUACGACUUAUAUGAUUAAUGAUCGAAAGGUAACAAUUUAAUUGAUUAUAAUUACACGUUGCGGAUCGAUCAAGCCAUUCUAUUACACUCAGUAGGAAGAAAUUUCUUCGUCGUUAAUCAUGGUUAAGCUUUGCCGUUCAUCGUAGAUCAAAUUCUUUUGCCAAACAAUCUCGUUUCAUUAUAACAUCAUAAUAGCGAUAUUAUAACGUCAAAGAAUUACUAAUUAAAUCGAUGAAAUUAUCAUUAGAAUUAUUGCCUGUAUGACUGCAAAAUUCUACUUAAUCAAUGUUUGCCAGCUUGUUAUACAAACAUUAAAUACAAAUGAAUAUUCAAGAAGAUAUAUUAUACAAGUCAUUGUAACUUAUUAAAGCGCCUAUGUUCAUUAUGGUUUUAGACAAAGGAGAAGGUUUUCCUUGUUCAGGGAAACUUUCUCUAUUUAACGAUGCUUAGCCCUUACAUUUUCCUAUGAAUAGCAACGAGGAAACCGUAUAUGAGCGUAGAGAAAAUAACGAUUUAGAUUUCUUGCAAUGGAAACGUAAAAGGUAUCCUAUGAUUAUAAAAUUUCAUUGUCAAUUUAACAUUAAGCUUCAGGGGAUUUAGCGUCGUUUUAAUUCUGUAAAAACGCUAUCGUCUUGAAAUCACCGCUGUUUUACACGAGCCUAAAAUACAAAGAACUCGCGUUAACAGAACUUUUCCUCAAAUACUAUUGUUUUCUUCUUCUGAAGUGAAAGAGAAAGGUUCGUUUAAUCGCGAUUAAACGUGGGUGAAGUCGACGUUUCAUCAGCGUUCAAUUCAAGUCGGUUCUUGAAGUUGGAUGCGAUUCUAAUUUGCCUCGUUUUCCAAGCUGGCCCCCAGCUUUAUUCCAGCAUAAUUUUCUUUCGCUACCAUUUCCUUCGUAUCGUGGAAAACGCCUUCAAAUUUUUUCUGUACCGACCACCUGCGUCAUCGAGAGACAGAAAUAAAGUCGCCCCCCCAGGUGGGUGAAUUUCAAUGUACAAACGGCGGUGAUUCGUAAAACACGAAUAUUUGUUGGAGUUUGUAGUCGUUGAAACGUUUUUUAAUAAUUGCAGCGUGAAACGACAA